This 76-nucleotide transfer RNA is filed under the name Propionicimonas sp. Its description in RNAcentral is "tRNA-Thr". It matches the Rfam family "tRNA". From Rfam's summary of the family: Transfer RNA (tRNA) molecules are approximately 80 nucleotides in length. Their secondary structure includes four short double-helical elements and three loops (D, anti-codon, and T loops). Further hydrogen bonds mediate the characteristic L-shaped molecular structure. tRNAs have two regions of fundamental functional importance: the anti-codon, which is responsible for specific mRNA codon recognition, and the 3' end, to which the tRNAs corresponding amino acid is attached (by aminoacyl-tRNA synthetases). tRNAs cope with the degeneracy of the genetic code in two manners: having more than one tRNA (with a specific anti-codon) for a particular amino acid; and 'wobble' base-pairing, i.e. permitting non-standard base-pairing at the 3rd anti-codon position. The record is from RNAcentral. Lineage: Bacteria; Bacillati; Actinomycetota; Actinomycetes; Propionibacteriales; Nocardioidaceae. RNAcentral also lists the same sequence under 1 other name.
GCCUCCGUAGCUCAGUUGGUAGAGCGUCCGCCUUGUAAGCGGAGGGUCGCGGGUUCGAUUCCUGUCGGAGGCUCCA